AGAGUUUGAUCCUGGCUCAGGAUGAACGCUAGCUACAGGCUUAACACAUGCAAGUCGAGGGGCAGCAUGAACUUAGCUUGCUAAGUUUGAUGGCGACCGGCGCACGGGUGAGUAACACGUAUCCAACCUGCCGAUGGACUCGGGGAUAGCCUUUCGAAAGAAAGAUUAAUACCCGAUGGCAUAGUUCUUCCGCAUGGUAGAACUAUUAAAGAAUUUCGGUCAUCGAUGGGGAUGCGUUCCAUUAGGUUGUUGGCGGGGUAACGGCCGACCAAGCCUUCGAUGGAUAGGGGGUUCUGGAGAGGAAGGUCCCCCACGACUUGGAACUGAGACACGGUCCAAACUCCUACGGGAGGCA
RNAcentral lists this ribosomal RNA (355 nucleotides) under uncultured bacterium. Its description in RNAcentral is "bacterial SSU rRNA". It matches the Rfam family "Bacterial small subunit ribosomal RNA", at positions 8 to 350 of the family's 1533-position model. The record is from RNAcentral.